UGGGGAAUCUUGCGCAAUGGGGGAAACCUUGACGCAGCAACGCCGCGUGGGUGAUGAAGGCCUUCGGGUCGUAAAGCCCUGUCAGGUGGGAAGAAACGUAUCGGUGUUAAUACCACCGAUAUUUGACGGUACUACCGGAGGAAGCACCGGCUAACUCCGUGCCAGCAGCCGCGGUAAUACGGAGGGUGCAAGCGUUGUUCGGAAUUACUGGGCGUAAAGCGCGUGUAGGCGGUCGGGCAAGUCAGAUGUGAAAGCCUUCCGCUUAACGGAAGAAGUGCAUUUGAAACUACCCGGCUGGAGUACGGGAGAGGAGAGUGGAAUUCCCGGUGUAGAGGUGAAAUUCGUAGAUAUCGGGAGGAACACCAGUGGCGAAGGCGGCUCUCUGGUCCGAUACUGACGCUGAUACGCGAAAGCGUGGGGAGCAAACAGGAUUAGAUACCCUGGUAGUCCACGCCGUAAACGAUGGGCACUAGGUGUAGGAGGUAUUGACCCCUUCUGUGCCGAAGUUAACGCAUUAAGUGCCCCGCCUGGGGAGUACGGCCGCAAGGUUA
RNAcentral lists this ribosomal RNA (551 nucleotides) under uncultured bacterium. RNAcentral describes it as "bacterial SSU rRNA". It matches the Rfam family "Bacterial small subunit ribosomal RNA", at positions 355 to 896 of the family's 1533-position model. The record is from RNAcentral.